AAAUUGAAGAGUUUGAUCAUGGCUCAGAUUGAACGCUGGCGGCAGGCCUAACACAUGCAAGUCGAGCGGUAGCACAGAGAGCUUGCUCUCGGGUGACGAGCGGCGGACGGGUGAGUAAUGUCUGGGAAACUGCCUGAUGGAGGGGGAUAACUACUGGAAACGGUAGCUAAUACCGCAUAACGUCGCAAGACCAAAGUGGGGGACCUUCGGGCCUCAUGCCAUCAGAUGUGCCCAGAUGGGAUUAGCUGGUAGGUGGGGUAACGGCUCACCUAGGCGACGAUCCCUAGCUGGUCUGAGAGGAUGACCAGCCACACUGGAACUGAGACACGGUCCAGACUCCUACGGGAGGCAGCAGUGGGGAAUAUUGCACAAUGGGCGCAAGCCUGAUGCAGCCAUGCCGCGUGUGUGAAGAAGGCCUUCGGGUUGUAAAGCACUUUCAGCGGGGAGGAAGGCGAUAAGGUUAAUAACCUUGUCGAUUGACGUUACCCGCAGAAGAAGCACCGGCUAACUCCGUGCCAGCAGCCGCGGUAAUACGGAGGGUGCAAGCGUUAAUCGGAAUUACUGGGCGUAAAGCGCACGCAGGCGGUCUGUCAAGUCGGAUGUGAAAUCCCCGGGCUCAACCUGGGAACUGCAUUCGAAACUGGCAGGCUAGAGUCUUGUAGAGGGGGGUAGAAUUCCAGGUGUAGCGGUGAAAUGCGUAGAGAUCUGGAGGAAUACCGGUGGCGAAGGCGGCCCCCUGGACAAAGACUGACGCUCAGGUGCGAAAGCGUGGGGAGCAAACAGGAUUAGAUACCCUGGUAGUCCACGCUGUAAACGAUGUCGAUUUGGAGGUUGUGCCCUUGAGGCGUGGCUUCCGGAGCUAACGCGUUAAAUCGACCGCCUGGGGAGUACGGCCGCAAGGUUAAAACUCAAAUGAAUUGACGGGGGCCCGCACAAGCGGUGGAGCAUGUGGUUUAAUUCGAUGCAACGCGAAGAACCUUACCUGGUCUUGACAUCCACAGAACUUUCCAGAGAUGGAUUGGUGCCUUCGGGAACUGUGAGACAGGUGCUGCAUGGCUGUCGUCAGCUCGUGUUGUGAAAUGUUGGGUUAAGUCCCGCAACGAGCGCAACCCUUAUCCUUUGUUGCCAGCGGUUCGGCCGGGAACUCAAAGGAGACUGCCAGUGAUAAACUGGAGGAAGGUGGGGAUGACGUCAAGUCAUCAUGGCCCUUACGACCAGGGCUACACACGUGCUACAAUGGCAUAUACAAAGAGAAGCGACCUCGCGAGAGCAAGCGGACCUCAUAAAGUAUGUCGUAGUCCGGAUUGGAGUCUGCAACUCGACUCCAUGAAGUCGGAAUCGCUAGUAAUCGUAGAUCAGAAUGCUACGGUGAAUACGUUCCCGGGCCUUGUACACACCGCCCGUCACACCAUGGGAGUGGGUUGCAAAAGAAGUAGGUAGCUUAACCUUCGGGAGGGCGCUUACCACUUUGUGAUUCAUGACUGGGGUGAAGUCGUAACAAGGUAACCGUAGGGGAACCUGCGGUUGGAUCACCUCCUUACCUUAAAGAA
This 1550-nucleotide ribosomal RNA is filed under the name Klebsiella variicola. Its description in RNAcentral is "bacterial SSU rRNA". It matches the Rfam family "Bacterial small subunit ribosomal RNA". The record is from RNAcentral. Lineage: Bacteria; Pseudomonadati; Pseudomonadota; Gammaproteobacteria; Enterobacterales; Enterobacteriaceae.